RNAcentral lists this ribosomal RNA (376 nucleotides) under Salmonella enterica subsp. enterica serovar Enteritidis. Its description in RNAcentral is "partial 23S ribosomal RNA". It matches the Rfam family "Bacterial large subunit ribosomal RNA", at positions 2545 to 2925 of the family's 2925-position model. Lineage: Bacteria; Pseudomonadati; Pseudomonadota; Gammaproteobacteria; Enterobacterales; Enterobacteriaceae. The record is from RNAcentral.
UCCUGGGGCUGAAGCAGGUCCCAAGGGUAUGGCUGUUCGCCAUUUAAAGAGGUACGCGAGCUGGGUUUAGAACGUCGUGAGACAGUUCGGUCCCUAUCUACCGUGGGCGUUGGAAAUUUGAGAGGAUCUGCUCCUAGUACGAGAGGACCAGAGUGGACGAACCUCUGGUGUUUCGGUUGUGACGCCAGUCGCAUUGCCGAGUAGCUAUGUUCGGAUGGGAUAACCGCUGAAAGCAUCUAAGCGGGAAGCCCACCUUAAGAUUAGAUUUCCCUAAAGAGCCGUUGUAGACUACGACGUUGAUAGGUUGGGUGUGGAAGCACAGCGAUGUGUGUAGCUAACCAAUACUAAUUGCUCGUUUGGCUUGACUAUACAACGC